RNAcentral lists this ribosomal RNA (721 nucleotides) under Bacillus sp. T1-38. RNAcentral describes it as "bacterial SSU rRNA". It matches the Rfam family "Bacterial small subunit ribosomal RNA", at positions 390 to 1104 of the family's 1533-position model. The record is from RNAcentral. Lineage: Bacteria; Bacillati; Bacillota; Bacilli; Caryophanales; Bacillaceae.
AGCAACGCCGCGUGAGUGAUGAAGGUUUUCGGAUCGUAAAGCUCUGUUGUUAGGGAAGAACAAGUGCAAGAGUAACUGCUUGCACCUUGACGGUACCUAACCAGAAAGCCACGGCUAACUACGUGCCAGCAGCCGCGGUAAUACGUAGGUGGCAAGCGUUGUCCGGAAUUAUUGGGCGUAAAGGGCUCGCAGGCGGUUUCUUAAGUCUGAUGUGAAAGCCCCCGGCUCACCGGGGAGGGUCAUUGGAAACUGGGAAACUUGAGUGCAGAAGAGGAGAGUGGAAUUCCACGUGUAGCGGUGAAAUGCGUAGAGAUGUGGAGGAACACCAGUGGCGAAGGCGACUCUCUGGUCUGUAACUGACGCUGAGGAGCGAAAGCGUGGGGAGCGAACAGGAUUAGAUACCCUGGUAGUCCACGCCGUAAACGAUGAGUGCUAAGUGUUAGGGGGUUUCCGCCCCUUAGUGCUGCAGCUAACGCAUUAAGCACUCGCCUGGGGAGUACGGUCGCAAGACUGAAACUCAAAGGAAUUGACGGGGGCCCGCACAAGCGGUGGAGCAUGUGGUUUAAUUCGAAGCAACGCGAAGAACCUUACCAGGUCUUGACAUCCUCUGACAACCCUAGAGAUAGGGCUUUCCCUUCGGGGACAGAGUGACAGGUGGUGCAUGGUUGUCGUCAGCUCGUGUCGUGAGAUGUUGGGUUAAGUCCCGCAACGAGCGCAACCC